This is a long non-coding RNA of Saccostrea cuccullata (small rock oyster), 949 nucleotides long. RefSeq lists it as uncharacterized. The record is from RefSeq and is a predicted model, not a curated record. Lineage: Eukaryota; Metazoa; Mollusca; Bivalvia; Ostreida; Ostreidae. The transcript is spliced from 4 exons.
AGGGUGUUUGAAGUAAACUACACUUUGUAUUUUUUGUUUACUUCAGAUAUCUCAGAAAAAGUAAAGAAAAACAAACAAAGGAAAUCUGUGAAUACUAUAGAGAAUAAAAAAAGGUCUUGAAUGCAGACAAACCAUGUUAGCUUUUGAGAACGCAAGUUGCUCCAGUCCUAACUGUUGUCGUGAUAUAUAUCUUCUUACUUCAAAGGCCAGAAACAUCUCAGAGAGAAGCACAUCAUCCUGUCUCUGUUUUGCUGAUCGAAUGUACCCGACAACAGUGAAUAAUACCGAAAACGAAUCAAUAGCAAUAUUCAACGAUGUCAGGAAAUGUUGUGAAGGGAUAAUUUAUGUGUUUUUAGAUGAGAUAUCAACACAGAGUUCCACAUUUGUCUACGAUAUUAAGAAACCAGAAGACACCACCUAAGCCUUCAUUUCAACAGCAACCAACAUCAUCUCAACCAACAAAGAGGAAGACAGUCUCUGCAUGAGCAACAUGUCGUUUUUUUUUUUAUCAGUUUGACGAUUAAUAUCCUGCUUCUUGUCCUAUUGCUUUUUAUGCUCUAUGUUGGUUGGAGAAAAGCUCACAAUCGUGACCCUAAAUACGUGACCGCUGGAGACGUUCAAAGACAAAGUGACCGUGUAUAUACACAGCUUGAUGUACCUCUAGAAGGAACUGGGUCAGCAACGGAAUACGUAGAGCCAGUAACACGUCCGAGGAACGAAAAUCAAAGACAUUCAAUAACCAACGAAACUCCUCAAUACUGUGAAGUUAUCGCCUGACUUUUUUGAGCGAGACAAAACCCUUCUCAACGUAACCUUUCUUAACGAAGCUUCAAAUUUGAAAGAUAGAUAAGAUUAAUUUCAGAGAUAUUGUACACUAAAUGUUUCUUAUAGAUUUCUGUAAUCUUGAUUUCAAAAGCUUUGGAUUUCAAACUAUUAAAAUUAAUUCUUU